AAAGCCCCGCAAGGGGUAAGUAGAGUGGCAAACGGGUGAGUAACACGUGGGUGACCUGCCUUCGAGUGGGGGAUAACGUCCCGAAAGGGACGCUAAUACCGCAUGACAUCCUGCUUUUGGAAAAGCGGAGAUCAAAGCUGGGGAUCGUAAGACCUGGCGCUUGAAGAGGGGCCCGCGCCUGAUUAGCUAGUUGGUGGGGUAACGGCCUACCAAGGCGACGAUCAGUAUCCGGCCUGAGAGGGCGGACGGACACACUGGGACUGAGACACGGCCCAGACUCCUACGGGAGGCAGCAGUGGGGAAUUGUUCGCAAUGGGCGCAAGCCUGACGACGCAACGCCGCGUGGAGGACGAAGAUCUUCGGGUCGUAAACUCCUGUCGAGUGGGAAGAACGCUUCGGGGGCGAAUAUCCUCCGGAAUUGACGGUACCACUAAAGGAAGCCCCGGCUAACUCCGUGCCAGCAGCCGCGGUAAUACGGGGGGGGCAAGCGUUGUUCGGAAUUACUGGGCGUAAAGGGCUCGUAGGCGGCCAACUAAGUCGGAUGUGAAAUCCCCAGGCUUAACCUGGGAACUGCAUCCGAUACUGGAUGGCUUGAAUUCGGGAGAGGGAUGCAGAAUUCCAGGUGUAGCGGUGAAAUGCGUAGAUAUCUGGAGGAAUACCGGUGGCGAAGGCGGCAUCCUGGACCGAGAUUGACGCUGAUGAGCGAAAGCUAGGGGAGCAAACGGGAUUAGAUACCCCGGUAGUCCUAGCCCUAAACGAUGAAUGCUUGGUGUGGCGGGUAUCGAUCCCUGCCGUGCCGAAGCUAACGCAUUAAGCAUU
This 819-nucleotide ribosomal RNA is filed under the name uncultured Bacillota bacterium. Its description in RNAcentral is "bacterial SSU rRNA". It matches the Rfam family "Bacterial small subunit ribosomal RNA", at positions 71 to 868 of the family's 1533-position model. The record is from RNAcentral. Lineage: Bacteria; Bacillati; Bacillota.